RNAcentral lists this ribosomal RNA (384 nucleotides) under uncultured Frankineae bacterium. RNAcentral describes it as "bacterial SSU rRNA". It matches the Rfam family "Bacterial small subunit ribosomal RNA", at positions 355 to 749 of the family's 1533-position model. The record is from RNAcentral. Lineage: Bacteria; Bacillati; Actinomycetota; Actinomycetes; Frankiales.
UGGGGAAGUAUUGCGCAAUGGGCGGGAAGCCUGACGCAGCGACGCCGCGUGGGGGAUGACGGCCUUCGGGUUGUAAACCUCUUUCAGCAGGGACGAAGCCGCGAGGUGACGGUACCUGCAGAAGAAGCACCGGCCAACUACGUGCCAGCAGCCGCGGUAAUACGUAGGUGCAAGCGUUGUCCGGAAUUAUUGGGCGUAAAGAGCUCGUAGGCGGUCUGUCGCGUCGGCUGUGAAAACCCGGAGCUCAACUCCGAGCUUGCAGCGAUACGGGCAGGCUGGAGUGCGGCAGGGAGACUGGAAUUCCUGGUGUAGCGGUGAAAUGCGCAGAUAUCAGGAGGAACACCGGUUGGCGAAGGCGGGUCUCUGGGCCGAUACUGACACUGA